GCCGGGAUGGCGGAACUGGUAGACGCGCCGGACUCAAAAUCCGGUUCUGGCAACAGAGUGCGGGUUCGAGUCCCGCUCCCGGCACCA
This 87-nucleotide transfer RNA is filed under the name Sediminicurvatus halobius. Its description in RNAcentral is "Spiribacter halobius tRNA-Leu". It matches the Rfam family "tRNA". Rfam says of the family: Transfer RNA (tRNA) molecules are approximately 80 nucleotides in length. Their secondary structure includes four short double-helical elements and three loops (D, anti-codon, and T loops). Further hydrogen bonds mediate the characteristic L-shaped molecular structure. tRNAs have two regions of fundamental functional importance: the anti-codon, which is responsible for specific mRNA codon recognition, and the 3' end, to which the tRNAs corresponding amino acid is attached (by aminoacyl-tRNA synthetases). tRNAs cope with the degeneracy of the genetic code in two manners: having more than one tRNA (with a specific anti-codon) for a particular amino acid; and 'wobble' base-pairing, i.e. permitting non-standard base-pairing at the 3rd anti-codon position. Lineage: Bacteria; Pseudomonadati; Pseudomonadota; Gammaproteobacteria; Chromatiales; Ectothiorhodospiraceae. The record is from RNAcentral.